CAAAGGAAGAACAAAGAAAGAAAAGAACGAACACAAUGCCUAGGUGGGAAAAUUGAAGAAAAAGUGUGGGAUUUCAAGGGAUUAAGCUAAUAAAGGUAAAAUUUUGUGAUUUUAUCUUGUGAUUUACACUACCCAUGCUUUCUUUUUCAUUUUCCAUGCUUAGAACUCAAGUUUGCAUGAUGAACCAAUGCUGGCCAAAUUUGAGAGGAGAGGUUUUGAGCAUUGAUUUUGCUAGAUUUCAUGCUAAUUAAGUGUUUUUGGUUGUUUGGUAAUGGAAAGUAUGAAAAUCUAGCAAGGAAUCACUUUGUUCUUCACAAACCCACAAGAUGCUGAAUUUUCUAGGGAGGAUAUUGAGGCUGAAAUUGAUGAUAUUUCAUGAUAUUUUGGUGGUAUUUAAUGAUUGGUGAGGCUAGAAAUUUAAUGGAAAAUUUUGGCAUGAAAAUAUGAAUUUUUACCUAAUGUAUAGACAUGUGCGAUUUAUGGUUCAAACUUAUAAAUUGAAUCAUAUUCACAGUCAUUGAGGUAUUUUAAGUAUAAUUGGAGUGUAGAAAGUGAAAGAAAUCGAUUUUGAGUUAAAUUGGAGGUUUUAGCCAAUUUUACCGAGAAUAGUGCGAAUUAGGUUGAAUACCAUAUUUAAACGGCUAUUCGGACAUUUUGCAUCACAUUUUCUGCAUUCAUAUAGAUUUAUAGAGCCCAAAAUAGUUUAUGAUAAAUUGAAACAAAUUAUUAAAAUUCGUGUCAUGAAUGAUGUUAGGUGGUGAAUCCUCCACUAAGGGCAAAGAAAUUAUACCCGAGGAUCGAUAGUCAAAGUACUCUAGAAAUUCGACUCCCGAAAUAGUGAGUAACCUUAUCAUCAUUUUAAUUAUCUAAAGUGGUCUUUUUAUUCGAUUUUGUGAAUUUUAUGGAAAAUGAAUUAAAUGAUUAAUUUUUCAAUUUUAUAAAUAAAAUGUGAUUUAAUGAAAUGAUUUCAUAAAAUUGUCUUGAAAUUGAAUGAUGGCUUUGAAAAUAGAGUAACUGGAGACCACUUGAUGUGUUGUAAUUUAUGGUUUUAAUUGAUGGCUUAUGAUUAUGUGUUGGCAUGACUGGCUGGAAUUGUGGUUUGUGAACUGUAUGAAUUGUUCUGUUUUACAUUUACAGGCUGGGUAGUAUAAUAUUAGUCAUGUUAUGCUGUCAAAAUUUUAUUAUAUGGUGGGUUUAGCUUGCUGCAGUGGGCGAGUUCUGUGGACUAGCCUUUUUGAGGGGCACAAAAUUCGGUUAUAUAUGUACCUCGAUCGGAGAGGCACGUAAGGUAUCUCUUGAGGUAUGGUUAGAGUUCACGUCACGCCGCACAACCUCGUGAUGAUGAACUCUGCUAACGCCAAGGAACGACUGUGUUUUUCAAACUAAAAAUAUGUUUAUGUGUAUACAAAAUUAUUUAACCGCCUUAGCAGACUCGGUUAAAUGCCUCGACCAAAGUAUUCCCGAGAAUGAUUUUGGCAGGAGCCAAGCUUUUGAGAUACUCAUAAGCCAUAUUGAUCAUUUAAAUGAAAUGAAUAUUUAUCUUAUGAAAUACAUACUGAGAUGGAAUAUUUUAAUUGUCUCAAUUUACUUGACUUUAGAUAUUUUGAAUGGUGUUUGUUUACUCACUGGGAUUAUAUAAUCUCAUGACCCUCUUUUCCACCCAUUUCAGGCUCAGAAUAGGCUGUAGAUAGCUGAUUUCAUCGAGGGCUAUCAUUGGAUUUGCAUCCUCCAAACUGUAGGUUCACAGUCUUUUCUUAUUUUUGGUUAUUCGAGGGCUCACUCAUUAUUGUAAAUUAAGUUAAAUACUCUGGCUUACUGUAUUACAGUAUGUAUGAAUUUAUUUAGUUUUUACGCUACAAAAACUAUUUACCGAUAACUUUAUAAAUAUUGUUUUAUAAGAAAAUAGAAUAUUUUAUUGAAUAUUUUUAUUAUAUUCAAA
RNAcentral lists this long non-coding RNA (1939 nucleotides) under Theobroma cacao (cacao). RNAcentral's name for it is "long non-coding RNA (TCAC_LNC002953)". The record is from RNAcentral. Lineage: Eukaryota; Viridiplantae; Streptophyta; Magnoliopsida; Malvales; Malvaceae.